GUGGGAUUAGCUCAGUUGGUUAGAGCGCCAGAUUGUGGCUCUGGAGGUCGUGGGUUCGACUCCCAUAUUCCACCCCA
RNAcentral lists this transfer RNA (77 nucleotides) under Clostridiaceae bacterium. RNAcentral's name for it is "tRNA-His". It matches the Rfam family "tRNA". From Rfam's summary of the family: Transfer RNA (tRNA) molecules are approximately 80 nucleotides in length. Their secondary structure includes four short double-helical elements and three loops (D, anti-codon, and T loops). Further hydrogen bonds mediate the characteristic L-shaped molecular structure. tRNAs have two regions of fundamental functional importance: the anti-codon, which is responsible for specific mRNA codon recognition, and the 3' end, to which the tRNAs corresponding amino acid is attached (by aminoacyl-tRNA synthetases). tRNAs cope with the degeneracy of the genetic code in two manners: having more than one tRNA (with a specific anti-codon) for a particular amino acid; and 'wobble' base-pairing, i.e. permitting non-standard base-pairing at the 3rd anti-codon position. RNAcentral also lists the same sequence under 1 other name. Lineage: Bacteria; Bacillati; Bacillota; Clostridia; Eubacteriales; Clostridiaceae. The record is from RNAcentral.